GAGUUUGAUCAUGGCUCAGAUUGAACGCUGGCGGCAUGCCUAACACAUGCAAGUCGAACGAGGGUAGCAAUACCUUAGUGGCGGACGGGUGAGGAAUACGUAGGAAUUUGCCCUUAAGUGGGGGAUAGCCCGGGGAAACCCGGAUUAAUACCGCAUGAUCUCGAAAGAGCAAAGUGGGGGAUCGCAAGACCUCACGCUUUUGGAGAAGCCUACGUCGGAUUAGCUAGUUGGUGAGGUAAUGGCUCACCAAGGCGACGAUCCGUAACUGGUCUGAGAGAAUGAUCAGUCACACCGGAACUGAGACACGGUCCGGACUCCUACGGGAGGCAGCAGUGGGGAAUAUUGGACAAUGGGCGAAAGCCUGAUCCAGCAAUGCCGCGUGUGUGAAGAAGGCCUUCGGGUUGUAAAGCACUUUAAGUUGGGAAGAAAAAACUCGCUCUAACACAGUGAGUCUUGACGGUACCGACAGAAUAAGCACCGGCUAACUCUGUGCCAGCAGCCGCGGUAAUACG
Molecule: ribosomal RNA, 512 nt
Filed under: uncultured eubacterium WR821
Lineage: Bacteria
Description: bacterial SSU rRNA
Rfam family: Bacterial small subunit ribosomal RNA
Source: RNAcentral